RNAcentral lists this ribosomal RNA (253 nucleotides) under uncultured bacterium. Its description in RNAcentral is "partial 16S ribosomal RNA". It matches the Rfam family "Bacterial small subunit ribosomal RNA", at positions 524 to 776 of the family's 1533-position model. The record is from RNAcentral.
UACGUAGGGUGCAAGCGUUGUCCGGAAUUAUUGGGCGUAAAGAGCUCGUAGGCGGUUUGUCGCGUCUGCUGUGAAAACCCGAGGCUCAACCUCGGGCCUGCAGUGGGUACGGGCAGACUAGAGUGCGGUAGGGGAGAUUGGAAUUCCUGGUGUAGCGGUGGAAUGCGCAGAUAUCAGGAGGAACACCGAUGGCGAAGGCAGAUCUCUGGGCCGUAACUGACGCUGAGGCACGAAAGCGUGGGGAGCAAACAGG